UGCCAGACUCCUACGGGAGGCAGCAGUGGGGAAUAUUGCACAAUGGGGGAAACCCUGAUGCAGCGACGCCGCGUGAGUGAAGAAGUAUUUCGGUAUGUAAAGCUCUCUCAGCAGGGAAGAAAAUGACGGUACCUGAUUAAGAAGCCCCGGCUAACUACGUGCCAGCAGCCGCGGUAAUACGUAGGGGGCAAGCGUUAUCCGGAUUUACUGGGUGUAAAGGGAGCGUAGACGGCAGUGCAAGUCUGAAGUGAAAGCCCCGGGCUUAACCCGGGAAUUGCUUUGGAAACUGUACGGCUGGAGUGCUGGAGAGGUAAGCGGAAUUCCUAGUGUAGCGGUGAAAUGCGUAGAUAUUAGGAGGAACACCAGUGGCGAAGGCGGCUUACUGGACAGUAACUGACGUUGAGGCUCGAAAGCGUGGGGAGCAAACAGGAUUAGAUACCCCGGUACCA
This 449-nucleotide ribosomal RNA is filed under the name uncultured bacterium. Its description in RNAcentral is "bacterial SSU rRNA". It matches the Rfam family "Bacterial small subunit ribosomal RNA", at positions 329 to 797 of the family's 1533-position model. The record is from RNAcentral.